Molecule: ribosomal RNA, 404 nt
Filed under: uncultured bacterium
Lineage: Bacteria
Description: bacterial SSU rRNA
Rfam family: Bacterial small subunit ribosomal RNA
Source: RNAcentral
UACCCUUGACAUGUACGGAAUCCCGGAGAGAUUUGGGAGUGCUCGAAAGAGAGCCGUAACACAGGUGCUGCAUGGCUGUCGUCAGCUCGUGUCGUGAGAUGUUGGGUUAAGUCCCGCAACGAGCGCAACCCUUGUCAUUAGUUGCUACAUUCAGUUGAGCACUCUAAUGAGACUGCCGGUGACAAACCGGAGGAAGGUGGGGAUGACGUCAAGUCCUCAUGGCCCUUAUGGGUAGGGCUUCACACGUCAUACAAUGGUACAUACAGAGGGCCGCCAACCCGCGAGGGGGAGCUAAUCCCAGAAAGUGUAUCGUAGUCCGGAUCGCAGUCUGCAACUCGACUGCGUGAAGUUGGAAUCGCUAGUAAUCGCGGAUCAGCAUGUCGCGGUGAAUACGUUCCCGGGUC